CCGGCCUGCCCCCUGGGCUGCGCGGCCACCCUCCAUCUGGUCCUGGGGUGACAUUUCCAGUCUGUGUCCCUUGCCCUCGCACAGCUUCAUAAGAAACUUCAGUGCCCCUUGUAAAGCCACCUUGGGAAGCAGGGCGGUCGCCAGCCCCGCCACAGUGGUCCUGUGGGCGCCUGAGCCCCCACGGGAAGCCCCCCCCACUGGCCCCUGCCUCUCCAUGUCUGCAGCCAUGGCUGGGUGUGUGGCCUCCGCUCCCUGCCCAGCAGAGCCCUGUUGAGAAAGGGCGGCCAGAGGCCAGCUCCACCCCCGAGGGGCGCUGUCUGGAUGCAGCCUGCCUGGACGCCAGCCUUGGCUGCGGGCCUGGGGCCCCUGGUCUGACACCUGCUCCCUGUGGGCAGCUCCACACCUGCCUGCCCCCGCCCCAGGGCAGUCCUGCAGCUGUCACCAAAACAAAUGCUCAGUGGGAUACCUGCGAGGCAUCUGCCUCAGAUAUGUAGGUGUUGGGGGAUGGCCAGGCUUUCACAGGUCCUCCAGGCCCUUGAGCCACUUCCCCGUCGUGUGCCGGCUGUGGGAAACCCAGCGGCUCUGCCCGAAGGCAGACUGGUCGGGCACGGGGCUCAAGCGUCCUGCACACCCACUUCCUGGUGCAGCUAGGCAGGGCCACGGAGACCUUCCCGUGAAUCCUGCAAAGGUGGAGUGUGGAGUAUGUGGCAGGAGGGACAAGGCAGGGACUGUCCACACCAAGUUCCCACGGCCGUCCCAGGACCCUAGUGCACGUACCCUGUGACGGCUGCUGCCACCCCCAGUCCGAGGGCCUUGUCCCUUGUUGACAGCUGUGAGCACAGGAAGUGCCCUCAUCCCAGCUCACAGGUGGGGAAGUUGAGGUCCUGGGGGUCCAGCCCGGCACCCACUGGGGCCCCACUGGUGGCUCAGUGGGUAAGAAUCCACCUGCCAAUGCAGGAGACGUGGGUUUGAUCCCCGACCUGGGAAGACUGCACGUGCUGAGAUGCAGCUGAGGCCUGCGCACAGCUGUCAAGCCCAGGCUCCUGAGCCCACAAGCCCCAGAGCUCGCGCUCCCCACGAGGAGCCGCUGCAGUGAGAAGCCCAAGCGCCACGACCAGAGCGCAGCCCUCGCUCACCGCAGCUGGAGAGAUGCCCAUGCACAGCCCUGAAGGCCCAGGGCAGCCAGAAACUAAUGUGAAAGGCUGCCCAUCCCCAGCACAUUGUAAAUGGUACCUUUUCAUGGCAGCCUUUCCAGUGUCUCCAACAGAAUCAAAAAGCUGUUGAUUUGCCGCUCACCUCUGUCCACUUGACGAGGACCCCGGCCAGCUGCCCCUUUGCAGCUGGCCGCAGCGUGCCACUCCUCCCUCCACAGAACCGCACCCCAGAGCAGGAGGGGCUCAGUUGACGGUCGAGGCCAUCACCGAGGGUCUGCUCCUCCGGGGCGCACUGUGGGCCGGGGCCAAGCCCUCUGCCAGCAAAGUGCAGCAGCUCACGGCUCCACUUCCUCCGGAGAUGCCUGUGCCCCCAGCCCUGGCGGUCGCUGCCUCUUGCCAGAGUGAGGGGUGCUGACCAGGGCAGAGCUCCCAGCCCACCUGCCACCCACGUUCAGGGUGAAGCGGCCCUCUGCUGUGUGGUGUGUUGAGACGGCUGUGGUUACUGCAGCGUGACUCGGCCUGGCCUGGCCUGCCCAGCAUCCUCUGCUGCUCCAGACAAGUGCAGUCAGUCCCUGCGUAUGGGCAAGCUCCGUUCUGAGCGCUGUUCACAAGUCCAACGAUGUUUGCAUAGGUAUCUAGCUAACACAAUUGACUACGUAGUACUGUAUUGUAAUAGGUUUAUAAUACUUUUCAUACAAAUAGUAUAUAAAAAACAGCGCGACAGCCAGCAUACAGGGACUGGUGUCGCCUGAACAGGCAAGAAGAGUUUCCGCUGAGGAGGAAGAAGAGGGGAGAGGGGCUGAGCUGAAGGAGUCAGCCACCAGAGACAAGGCGCGGCCUCACCCACGUCUGAUGUCGCUGGCUCAGGCCUGGUUCCAUGCUGGAUCCAGUUCUGUUGUCCCGAAAAAAUGAUCCGGUGAGGUCUGGGUUGUAGCUCUUUUUCUGUCGUCAUAGAUGGCACAGUAGCCCUGGAUUGCAUUCUGAACGGCUGCUACAGACGAGAACAGUGACUCCUCCAGCAGAGAGCACUCUCUGCCGUCUCCUGUAGGCUGACUCUCUCCGGUCCUUCAGGUCCUCUUCCUCCUGUCUCUCCCCCUCCUCUCUCUCUCUCCUCAGUUCCCUCCAUUAGUGAGGCCCCCAUGUUUUCUCAGCAAGGAGUGGAGGGAAGUCAUCCUCCUGCAGAUCCGCUCCGGCGUCUCUGAGGGCCACUGAAUUGCUGAAGGUCUCUUUGGGCUCCUCAUCCACCUUCUCAAACCCUCAAGAAUUGUGAAUUAUGGACAAACCCCAUUCAUGGUUGGAUGAGUGACAUGCACUACUUCCACACUGGGAUGAAAAUCAUCUACAAGCAGGGGGUAGCCCGGGGCACUGUCCAGCUUCGAAUGUCGAACGGAACGUCCUUCUCCACACAGCCUGUCUCUGCCUCUGGGACGCAGUGGGAAAACCAGUCCUGGAAAACGGGCUGUAACCAGGCUUCGGGGUUACUUUUCCACACAACAGGAAGAGAGCCCUUGGCUGUUUCUCAGGGCUCGAGGGCUCUCUGAGUGGUAAAUUAAGAGAGGUUUCAGCUUCACCUUACCGGAAGCAUUGCCACCAAACCGCAGAGUCAGCCUGUCCUUUGCUGCUUUAUAGCCUGGCAUCAGCUUUUCCUCCUCACCAAUGUAACUUCAGCCUAGCGUCCUCUUCCGGUACAGUCCUGUCCCAUCCAGUGUAAAAACCUGCUCUGGUCUUCAUACAGGCUUUUAGCUCGCUUCAAUCGGCAUUAAGCUGAGUGGGGCUAGGCGCUCGUGCUGGUCCUGCAGCCACAUGCUGAGAAGGUUCUCCGUCUCCUCCGUCACUUUCCCACGCCUCUGCAAUGCUCUGGCCAACAUCCUCUGCACAGCAGACCUACACAUUCCACCACCUUGUCCUUGCUCUCUAGGAGCGCGCCGACGGCUGAACGGUUCAUGUUUUGAGAAUAUCCUGGCCGUGAAAUAAAGACACUGCACCUCUGCGCUCUCUACAGCACUGCUCAGUAAAGGGCACAGAAGCGCAACGCUCGCAGAGGACGCGCUUGGUGACAAUGCACACCAGACGCGUGAGCCAGCGAGACUGCACAUGUGCGCAUGAGCUCACACCUUUGGAAGGUCACAACUUGGAGGCUCACAUAUACGGGACUUACUGUAUCUGCAGUGCAUCGAGGGGGUCAUCUGUCCUAAACUGUGAGACUGUGAACCCGAACCUGGGAACCAGAGCUUCCCCUGUGUUCUCAGGAUUAUUAGCUACAUACUCAACACAAUACUCAGACAUUGCAAAUUUGCAUAACAACAUGGAAGUAAAACUGACUUGGAAAUGCGUUAAUAACAAGCCAUCUGUCUUCAUGGGAGAACACUGCUUAGGGCCAAAACGAGAGAGUAUUCAGAGUGGCACUCUUUCCUGUUUUUCGUCUUCACUGAUACAAGAGCUGGUAAAACAUCACCUAAGUAGAGAUGGGAGUGCUUUGCUGUAGCAACAUCCCUCAAUUUUCCAAAGUCUCAUGUGUCAGAGGCCACAUGUUAAUGUUCUAGAGAC
Odocoileus virginianus texanus is the source of this 3701-nucleotide non-coding RNA. NCBI's taxonomy places the organism in Eukaryota, Metazoa, Chordata, Mammalia, Artiodactyla, Cervidae. The record is from RefSeq and is a predicted model, not a curated record.